AAACUUUCAACAACGGAUCUCUUGGGUUCUGGCAUCGAUGAAGAACGCAGCGAAAUGCGAUAAGUAAUGUGAAUUGCAGAAUUCAGUGAAUCAUCGAAUCUUUGAACGCACAUUGCGCCCCUUGGUAUUCCGAGGGGCAUGCCUGUUCGAGCGUCAUUU
RNAcentral lists this ribosomal RNA (159 nucleotides) under Neofusicoccum parvum. Its description in RNAcentral is "5.8S ribosomal RNA". It matches the Rfam family "5.8S ribosomal RNA". Rfam says of the family: 5.8S ribosomal RNA (5.8S rRNA) is a component of the large subunit of the eukaryotic ribosome. The record is from RNAcentral. Lineage: Eukaryota; Fungi; Ascomycota; Dothideomycetes; Botryosphaeriales; Botryosphaeriaceae.